RNAcentral lists this small RNA (495 nucleotides) under Arabidopsis thaliana (thale cress). Its description in RNAcentral is "ATSL279470". Lineage: Eukaryota; Viridiplantae; Streptophyta; Magnoliopsida; Brassicales; Brassicaceae. The record is from RNAcentral.
ACAAAACAAUAAUAAAUAAUUAUCAUUAUUAAUAAUUAUUAAUCCAUUAUCAUCAAACUUAAAAUAUUUACGAAUUCCACUUUUUACUGAUUUACGUUUUCGGCGAUAAAAUUACAGGUUUACGUUUUUAGCGGGAAAAUCACAGGUUUACGUUUUUGGCGGGAAAAUCACAAGUUUACGUUUUUGGCGGGAAAAUCACGAGUUUACGUUUUUUGGCGGAAAAAUUACGGGUUUACGUUUUUGGCGGGAAAAUCACGGGUUUACGUUUUUGGCGAGAAAAUUACGGUUUACGUUUUUGACGGGAAAAUCACGGGUUUACGUUUUUCGCGAGAAAACCACAGGUUUUGGUUUUUGGCGAGAAAAUUACGGGUUUACGUUUUUGGCGGGAAAAUCACCGGUUUACGUUUUUGGCGGGAAAAUCACGGGUUUAUGUUUUUUGGUGGAAAAUUACGAGUUUACUUUUUCUCAAUUUCAUCGCUUGUACAUUUAAAAAUU